Molecule: long non-coding RNA, 150 nt
Organism: Telopea speciosissima
Lineage: Eukaryota; Viridiplantae; Streptophyta; Magnoliopsida; Proteales; Proteaceae
Exons: 3
Source: RefSeq, a predicted model, not a curated record
CGAAGUUCAGAGAUCUGAACAGUGAAAGAGAAAGAUACGAAUGAGUAUUAAGAAUUUUAAUUUUGGCUUAUUGAGAAACUGAGAAAGCAAGAUUGAUGGGAGACCUAAUAAAGAAAUGUGUUACCAGAGAGAGAGAGAGAGAGAGAGAGA